This 76-nucleotide transfer RNA is filed under the name Arthrospiribacter ruber. RNAcentral describes it as "tRNA-His". It matches the Rfam family "tRNA". Rfam says of the family: Transfer RNA (tRNA) molecules are approximately 80 nucleotides in length. Their secondary structure includes four short double-helical elements and three loops (D, anti-codon, and T loops). Lineage: Bacteria; Pseudomonadati; Bacteroidota; Cytophagia; Cytophagales; Cyclobacteriaceae. The record is from RNAcentral.
GUGAUUGUAGCUCAGCAGGUUAGAGCGCUGGUUUGUGGCACCAGAGGUCGCCGGUUCGAAUCCGGUCUUUCACCCA